GAAAACAUUUAAUGUCUCCUAUUGUUAUUGUUAAAGUCAUGUUGUUCAAAAUCCAUAUAUACCGAUUUUGACCUCCUUUAUUUCCUACUCCACAGUUCAAAAUGCAUAUAUUUUUUUUUAAUAACGAUUCUGAAACUUCCGCGCAUCUUCUUAGUCUUGAAUGGCUAGAGAGAAAAGAUUGCUUUUGGAAAAGGCUUCUGGAACAGAUUAGUGG
RNAcentral lists this unclassified non-coding RNA (214 nucleotides) under Marchantia quadrata. Lineage: Eukaryota; Viridiplantae; Streptophyta; Marchantiopsida; Marchantiales; Marchantiaceae. The record is from RNAcentral.